UCCUAGAGGUACGGAACAACGCAGGGAAACUUGCGCUAAUACCGUAUGUGCUCUUGCGAGGAAAGAUUUAUCGCCUUUAGACGGGCCCGCGUCGGAUUAGCUAGUUGGUGGGGUAAUGGCCUACCAAGGCAACGAUCCGUAGCUGAUCUGAGAGGAUGAUCAGCCACACUGGGACUGAGACACGGUCCAGACUCCUACGGGAGGCAGCAGUGGGGAAUCUUGGACAAUGGGCGCAAGCCUGAUCCAGCCAUGCCGCGUGAGUGAAGAAGGCCUUCGGGUUGUAAAGCUCUUUUGUCAGGGACGAUAAUGACGGUACCUGAAGAAUAAGCCCCGGCAAACUUCGUGCCAGCAGCCGCGGUAAUACGAAGGGGGCUAGCGUUGUUCGGAUUUACUGGGCGUAAAGCGCACGUAGGCGGAUAGUUAAGUGAGAGGUGAAAUCCCAGGGCUCAACCCUGGAACUGCCUUUCAUACUGGCUAUCUCGAGUUCGGAAGAGGUGAGUGGAAUUCCUAGUGUAGAGGUGAAAUUCGUAGAUAUUAGGAAGAACACCGGUGGCGAAGGCGGCUCACUGGUCCGAUACUGACGCUGAGGUGCGAAAGCGUGGGGAGCAAACAGGACUAGAUACCCUGGUAGUCCACGCCGUAAACUAUGAGAGCUAGCCGUUGGGUGGUUUACCACUCAGUGGCGCAGCUAACGCAUUAAGCUCUCCGCCU
This 711-nucleotide ribosomal RNA is filed under the name uncultured Hyphomicrobiales bacterium. RNAcentral describes it as "bacterial SSU rRNA". It matches the Rfam family "Bacterial small subunit ribosomal RNA", at positions 128 to 874 of the family's 1533-position model. Lineage: Bacteria; Pseudomonadati; Pseudomonadota; Alphaproteobacteria; Hyphomicrobiales. The record is from RNAcentral.